Long non-coding RNA from Osmia lignaria (orchard mason bee), 1314 nucleotides. RefSeq lists it as uncharacterized. The record is from RefSeq and is a predicted model, not a curated record. Lineage: Eukaryota; Metazoa; Arthropoda; Insecta; Hymenoptera; Megachilidae.
ACAUAAACGUCGCUCGACUUUCGCGAACUGCAAUCGUGUCUUCUGCACCGUGGAGAUUACAUUGAAAGUAGCUCCGUAAGCGGUGACAGCUUGAAAGUUUAAAAAAUUUUCUGCCUUACAGCAUCGUACGCGGCCAUAUAACAGUCUACUAUAGUUACUCAUGGUUACUUCUGGUCAAAUAAUUAGAACCACUUGCAAUAACUCUUCGCUUACGGACAACAGCAUCUGCCCGAAGAGUUAACGCAAACAAUGACCGUCAAACUAGCCGCCAAUUUGUGCUCGAACAAAUGUCACAGCCCUUGUGACGUCAAACGGCUGCUUCUGCGUUCAAGUAUCACGAAAGGGGACUGAAUUUAGAGCAAUUUGCUACAUCACGAAAAAAAUGCGUUCAGUCAGAGAGAGGAUUCGGUGGUGGCUCGGCGACAGGCACACUUGAAAAUAGAAUCGCGUACUCGAAACUCUUCAAGGCCUUGGGCAGGAAGCCGAGAAGAGGCCAAUGGAUUUUCGUGGCCAGGGCUACGGCAUCCGGUUGCUCAAUGUUUUUAUCGUACACAUGAACGCGUGUACAGUACACGUUGUAGAAGCAACGAGGACUUUCGCUUUCGAAAGCUGCGCCACUUAUCGAUUGACUUUCUUCUCUUCCGCUGUCGUUUGUUUUCUGGACAGAAUCUGUUAUUGUUACACAAAAAAUUUUUAUACUUCGACAGACACAGAUUUUACAAGAUUUAUGAUAUUUCUAAUUUUAAGCUCUUUUUUAUUUAAUAGCUAAGGAGGAAUCAUUCAUAAAAUUGUUUUUAAUUUUUAACACCUUGACUGCUACGGUGAAAAUGAGCAUUUGUUGUGAGACGUAUUAAAGCUUUAAUUAUUAAGAAUGGGAAUAGUUAAUUUUCAAAUUUUUAAUUUCAAGCAUUCUACUUGCUAUUUUACAUGAUUUGUAUAAUAGCGAUAUUAUUUAAAAUAAUGUUUCUCUAUUGUCUUCUUUUAAUUAUUCAGGCAUGUGUAUGUAAUUUGCGGUGCCGGUCACCCUAUGGCAUCCAACGCGUUGAUUAUAAUUCAUAUUGCAUAUCAUUAAAUCAAUAACAUGCAAUUAUUUUACUCACCAGCAACUUUGAAUCAACUCGCUCUCGCGCUCGCUUGUGUUACAUAUAUUCUAGCAAUGAGUUUCGAUAGUCUUUUGUUUUACGCAUUUAUGCGCGGCGUUCAAAUUUGGGAAACUUCAAAAUUUCCAACCUCAUAUAUGGAGGGCCAAUUAUCGUAUACACUGUAAUCAAACUGUAUUCGAUGAUUUGUAUAAUAAAAUUAUUUAAAAUUAAA